RNAcentral lists this ribosomal RNA (497 nucleotides) under uncultured bacterium. RNAcentral describes it as "partial 16S ribosomal RNA". It matches the Rfam family "Bacterial small subunit ribosomal RNA", at positions 28 to 507 of the family's 1533-position model. The record is from RNAcentral.
GAUGAACGCUGGCGGCGUGCCUAAUACAUGCAAGUCGAGCGAACAGACGAGGAGCUUGCUCCUCUGACGUUAGCGGCGGACGGGUGAGUAACACGUGGAUAACCUACCUAUAAGACUGGGAUAACUUCGGGAAACCGGAGCUAAUACCGGAUAAUAUAUUGAACCGCAUGGUUCAAUAGUGAAAGACGGUUUUGCUGUCACUUAUAGAUGGAUCCGCGCCGCAUUAGCUAGUUGGUAAGGUAACGGCUUACCAAGGCAACGAUGCGUAGCCGACCUGAGAGGGUGAUCGGCCACACGGGAACAGAGACACGGUCCAGACUACUACGGGAGGCAGCAGUAGGGAAUCUUCCACAAUGGGCGAAAGCCUGACGGAGCAACGCCGCGUGAGUGAUGAAGGUCUUCGGAUCGUAAAACUCUGUUAUUAGGGAAGAACAAAUGUGUAAGUAAAUAUGCACGUCUUGACGGUACCUAAUCAGAAAACCACGGCUAACUACGUG